RNAcentral lists this ribosomal RNA (257 nucleotides) under uncultured bacterium. RNAcentral's name for it is "partial 16S ribosomal RNA". It matches the Rfam family "Bacterial small subunit ribosomal RNA", at positions 793 to 1055 of the family's 1533-position model. The record is from RNAcentral.
GUCCACGCCGUAAACGAUGAUCACUCGAUGUGUGCGAUAUACUGUACGCGUCUAAGCGAAAGCAUUAAGUGAUCCACCUGGGAGUACGGUCGCAAGAUUGAAACUCAAAGGAAUUGACGGGGCCCGCACAAGCGGAGGAGCAUGUGGUUUAAUUCGAUGAUACGCGAGGAACCUUACCUGGGCUUAAAUGGGAGAGGACAGUUGCCGAAAGGUGACCUUCCGCAAGGACCUCUUUCAAGGUGCUGCAUGGCUGUCGU